Long non-coding RNA from Sinocyclocheilus rhinocerous, 270 nucleotides. RefSeq lists it as uncharacterized. The record is from RefSeq and is a predicted model, not a curated record. Lineage: Eukaryota; Metazoa; Chordata; Actinopteri; Cypriniformes; Cyprinidae. The transcript has 3 exons.
AAAACAGCACCAGAGUGGGCCCAACCGGAGUCAACAUUCCUGUCACCAUAACUGCCCCACCAGGAGAGACUACAGUCAUUCCCAUGAACAACAUUGAUGGUGACAGUCUACUGCUGAACGAGGAAAAGAAGGAACUUGAUGAGCUAAAUCAGAAUGCGCCCAAACACAUUCUGCCAUACAGCUCCAUGUUUGUGUUUGGUCCAACUAACCCAGUGAGACGGCUGUGUCAUUAUGUGGUGAACCUACGGUACUUUGAGAUGUGUAUCCUCA